Pimephales promelas (fathead minnow) is the source of this 332-nucleotide non-coding RNA. The record is from RefSeq and is a predicted model, not a curated record. Lineage: Eukaryota; Metazoa; Chordata; Actinopteri; Cypriniformes; Leuciscidae.
UGUAUAGCAUAUAUGUCAUCAGCAGAAUCUAAUGUUAAAGCAUUGGAUGUCAUGCAAGCUCAGGCUUUAAGGAUAUGUAGUGGAUCUUUUAAAACUUCCCCAGUGUCUUCUAUGCAAGUGGAAAUGGGUGAGAUGCCUUUGAGCAUCAGAAGGAUACAACUGAUGUUGGCAUACUGGGUUAAUGUGAGGGGACAAGUUGAUAGCCACCCAGCUAAAGCUAUCUUAAAAGAAUGCUGGGAACACAUUCCAAUAUCUCCUGAUUCACACUCCAGCCCAGUCGGUGGCGGUAAAUGCACCGUUAAGUUGGUUUGCCAACCGCCAAAAAAACAAAA